RNAcentral lists this long non-coding RNA (932 nucleotides) under Mus musculus (house mouse). Its description in RNAcentral is "predicted gene, 47839". The record is from RNAcentral. Lineage: Eukaryota; Metazoa; Chordata; Mammalia; Rodentia; Muridae.
UAUGCCACUACUCCAGAAUGAGAAAGAAAUACAGGAUUCGGAUGACAUCAUCGAACUGGAACUGAGAAUGACAUCAUCUUCUUCCCUUCUACAGUGUGACUAAUGACUGUAAUGCUGUCAUAGGAGUCCCAUUUAGAUGUGCUAGAAAAGAGUAGUCUUCUAGUUCACUGAGAGAUGUUCACAUAUUUGCAUAUUCAUAUAGCAGACAAUAUUUUACUGAUUGCAAGUGCUGUAUCUGAUAACUACUUGAUAGUUUGAAUAAGGAUGAUGCACACACACACACACACACACACACACACAAACAUGUGUGUGUGUGUGUAAAUCCUUGGUUAACCCAGUUGGUGGAACUAUUUAGGAAAGAAUUAGGACUUAAGGCCAUGAUGGAUGAGGUGUGCUCUUGGGAGUGUUUUCUUUGAGGCCUCAGAAGCCCAUGGCAUUCCAGUUUCAGGAACAUCCUAAAAUAAGAGUUGCUGAUAGGUACACUUGAGAUGGCCAGCACAGUUAACCAACUUGAUAACUGCUGCUUGCUGCUUGCAGAGGCCUUAAGUGAUGCACAAGACAACUACUAUGCCACUCCUCAGCCACUAAACUUGAAGUCACCUUCUUUGAUGUUUUUCCCAGUAAUGAUUUGCUGCCUGAGGUUCAUCAUUUUGACAUCUCCAAAUGUCCUCUUAUCUGUAGCCUCAGUGAGCUUAAAAGUGUCAAUCCACCUGCUAAUUGAUCUGUUACCAAAGCCUGCUGCUGCUGACCAAUGGCUUUCAGAAGCGUAAUCAGAGAACAUCUUCCACUUCUGUGCAUGAAAUGACUCCAGAUUUUCAAAGAAACUAUGCUAUACUCUUCUUAAAUCUCCACAUUAACAGGUAACAUGAACUGUAAUGCCUAAUAAUGAUUGUCUGAAAGCCAUUAUCUCAAGUCCCUGGAAUCUGGGUGUC